CCUACGGGAGGCAGCAGUAGGGAAUAUUGCUCAAUGGGGGAAACCCUGAAGCAGCCACGCCGCGUGGAGGAUGAAGGUUUUAGGAUUGUAAACUCCUUUUGUUAGAGAAGAUAAUGACGGUAUCUAACGAAUAAGCACCGGCUAACUACGUGCAAGCAGCCGCGGUAAUACGGAGGGUGCCAGCGUUACUCGGAAUCACUGGGCGUAAAGCGCGCGUAGGCGGGAUAGCAAGUCAGACGUGAAAUCCUAUGGCUUAACCAUAGAACGGCAUUGGAAACUGUUAUUCUAGAGUAUGGGAGAGGUAGGUGGAAUGCGUGGUGUAGGGGUAAAAUCCGUAGAGAUCAAGAGGAAGACUCAGUGCGAAGGCGACCUGCUAGAGCAUAACUGACGCUGAGGCGCGAAAGCGUGGGGAGCAAACAGGAUUAGAUACCCCAGUAGUC
This 440-nucleotide ribosomal RNA is filed under the name uncultured bacterium. RNAcentral describes it as "partial 16S ribosomal RNA". It matches the Rfam family "Bacterial small subunit ribosomal RNA", at positions 338 to 795 of the family's 1533-position model. The record is from RNAcentral.